AAGGCCUAGGAGGUCCCCCGCCUCCGAAGCUUCGAACCUUUCAACACCAGUGUGCACCCGCCGUAGGUCCUUCGGGAUCUAUGUCUUCUCUUUCGAACUCGUAUGUCUACAGAAUGUAUGCGUCGCUCCGGCGACGGGUUAAGCCCUAUACAACUUUCAGCAAUGGAUCUCUUGGCUCUCGCAUCGAUGAAGAACGCAGCGAAUCGCGAUAAGUAAUGUGAAUUGCAGAUUUUCCGUGAAUCAUCGAAUCUUUGAACGCACCUUGCGCUCCUUGGUAUUCCGAGGAGCAUGCCUGUUUGAGUGUCAUCGAAACCUCGAACCAAAGUCCUUCGAUCCGUCGGAGCUUUGUUUUCGGACCAUGGGAGCAUGCGGGCGGCGACGUCGGCUCUCCUCAAAAGCAUUAGCUGUGGGCGGCGAGCCUUGCGUGACACACGGCCUUGUUCGACGUCGUAAUGAUCGUCGUGGGCUGGAGGCGCGUGGAUCGACCGGUCUCAUGCUUCGCAACCCUCUGCGGGACGACCGCACGUAACCAAGGCUUGACCUCAAAUCAGGUAGGACUACCCGCCGAACUUAAGCAUAUCA
This 582-nucleotide ribosomal RNA is filed under the name uncultured fungus. RNAcentral describes it as "eukaryotic LSU rRNA". The stretch from base 152 to 306 matches the Rfam family "5.8S ribosomal RNA". Lineage: Eukaryota; Fungi. The record is from RNAcentral.